Molecule: ribosomal RNA, 253 nt
Filed under: uncultured bacterium
Lineage: Bacteria
Description: partial 16S ribosomal RNA
Rfam family: Bacterial small subunit ribosomal RNA
Source: RNAcentral
UACGUGGGGACCAAGCGUUGUUCGGAUUUACUGGGCGUAAAGGGCGCGUAGGCGGCGUGGUAAGUCACUUGUGAAAUCUCUGAGCUUAACUCAGAACGGCCAAGUGAUACUGCUGUGCUAGAGUGCAGAAGGGGCAAUCGGAAUUCUUGGUGUAGCGGUGAAAUGCGUAGAUAUCAAGAGGAACACCUGAGGUGAAGACGGGUUGCUGGGCUGACACUGACGCUGAGGCGCGAAAGCUAGGGGAGCAAACGGG